GAUGAAGAACGUAGCGAAAUGCGAUAAGUAAUGUGAAUUGCAGAAUUCAGUGAAUCAUCGAAUCUUUGAACGCACAUUGCGCCCCCUGGUAUUCCGGGGGGCAUGCCUGUCCGAGCGUCAUUACAACCCUCAAGCUCAGCUUGGUGUUGGGCCCCGCCGCCCCGGCGGGCCCUAAAGUCAGUGGCGGUGCCGUCCGGCUCCGAGCGUAGUAAUUCUUCUCGCUCUGGAGGUCCGGUCGUGUGCUCGCCAGCAACCCCCAAUUUUUUUCAGGUUGACCUCGGAUCAGGUAGGGAUACCCGCUGAACUUAAGCAUAUCAUAAGCGGAGGA
This 328-nucleotide unclassified non-coding RNA is filed under the name soil metagenome. RNAcentral's name for it is "partial contains 5.8S ribosomal RNA, internal transcribed spacer 2, and large subunit ribosomal RNA". The stretch from base 1 to 120 matches the Rfam family "5.8S ribosomal RNA", at positions 35 to 154 of the family's 154-position model. The record is from RNAcentral.